This is a non-coding RNA of Stygiomarasmius scandens, 98 nucleotides long. NCBI's taxonomy places the organism in Eukaryota, Fungi, Basidiomycota, Agaricomycetes, Agaricales, Campanellaceae. The record is from the annotation of a GenBank genome assembly.
UGCCCCAUGACUGAGUUGGUUACAGCGUCCGACUGUUAUCAACCGAACUCGGUAACAUGUGCAUCGGAAGGUCGAGAGUUCGAGCCUCUCUGGGGCAG